CCGCGACACCCACCACCACCGGCUACCACCACCACCACCGGCGACCAGCCCAUGGGUAUCUCCUCCAAAUCCCCAAACCUCAAUCCAAAAUCUCUAGUCUUCUCACACCCAUCUCUCAUCUUGCCAUUCCCAUCAAAACCUAAUCACCGAUUCAGAGCCAAAAUCCAUAUUCAAUGACCUUGAUGAGGCCCCGUCAACGAAACCCUUCGGAAACAGAGACCCAUUUGCUAUAGAGAAUGUUGAGCAGUUUGAUCAAAGCAGGUCAUCACGGAGAAUCGGAGAACCAUUAGAAUGGUCUGCACGCCAAAAAAUAGCUGUGGGAGCUGCUCGAGGGCAUGGAAUGCUAUAAGAUGGAAAGAGAAGAAGGUUUCCGCGACUCAAACAAAGCAGUAAAGAUGCUGAAUGAUUUGGCAGCGAAGAAGAGCAGAAUGCUUUGAUAGGAAACAAAAAAUGGAGGUGUAAUUCCUAGGCCUAUUUGUUCUACAAUUGAAAUACUGGAAUGUAGCCUAUUUUCGUUUUGCAAAUGAGUUUGUAACCAUUAGAGAGGAAAAUGUACUUUUAUUUAUUGGGAUGUGAAUGAUAAUUAGCAUGAGUAGACUUAUUGUAUAGUCUCCCUGCUUUAAGCCAUGGGUACGUCAGGAUCGGGAAACAAAUCGGGGAAAAGAGUCGGGAUGUGUAGACUUAUUGAUUAAAAUAUGUUACUAUUAUUACUUGGGCAUUAA
Molecule: long non-coding RNA, 722 nt
Organism: Rhododendron vialii
Lineage: Eukaryota; Viridiplantae; Streptophyta; Magnoliopsida; Ericales; Ericaceae
Exons: 2
Source: RefSeq, a predicted model, not a curated record